This 208-nucleotide unclassified non-coding RNA is filed under the name soil metagenome. RNAcentral describes it as "partial contains 5.8S ribosomal RNA, internal transcribed spacer 2, and large subunit ribosomal RNA". The record is from RNAcentral.
AACCAUUCUCACCUGCGGCUAGACCUGCGGAGGGAUCAUUACCGAGUUUACAACUCCCAAACCCCUGUGAACAUACCAAUUGUUGCCUCGGCGGAUCAGCCCGCUCCCGGUAAAACGGGACGGCCCGCCAGAGGACCCCUAAACUCUGUUUCUAUAUGUAACUUCUGAGUAAAACCAUAAAUAAAUCAAAACUUUCAGCAACGGAUCU